RNAcentral lists this ribosomal RNA (492 nucleotides) under uncultured bacterium. Its description in RNAcentral is "partial 16S ribosomal RNA". It matches the Rfam family "Bacterial small subunit ribosomal RNA", at positions 29 to 507 of the family's 1533-position model. The record is from RNAcentral.
AGUGAACGCUGGCGGUAGGCCUAACACAUGCAAGUCGAACGGCAGCACAGUAAGAGCUUGCUCUUACGGGUGGCGAGUGGCGGACGGGUGAGGACUACAUCGGAAUCUACUUUUUCGUGGGGGCUAACGUAGGGAAACUUACGCUACUACCGCACACGACCUACGGGUGAAAGCAGGGGAUCUUCGGACCUUGCGCGAUUGAAUGAGCCGAUGUCGGAUUAGCUAGUUGGCGGGGUAAAGGCCCACCAAGGCGACGAUCCGUAGCUGGUCUGAGAGGAUGAUCAGCCACACUGGAACUGAGACACGGUCCAGACUCCUACGGGAGGCAGCAGUGGGGAAUAUUGGACAAUGGGCGCAAGCCUGAUCCAGCCAUGCCGCGUGGGUGAAGAAGGCCUUCGGGUUGUAAAGCCCUUUUGUUGGGAAAGAAAAGCAGCAGGUUAAUACCCCGCGGUUCUGACGGUACCCAAAGAAUAAGCACCGGCUAACUUCGUG